This 2740-nucleotide unclassified non-coding RNA is filed under the name Actinia tenebrosa (Australian red waratah sea anemone). RNAcentral describes it as "calcium/calmodulin-dependent 3',5'-cyclic nucleotide phosphodiesterase 1A-like, transcript variant X3". Lineage: Eukaryota; Metazoa; Cnidaria; Anthozoa; Actiniaria; Actiniidae. The record is from RNAcentral.
UUUAUUCGGCGCCGCCGCCAGAGGAAUGCCCUGUUUGGAGUAUGACCGAUAUCAUGUUACCCUUGAACCUGGACUGAUUAAAAUGAGUUGCGUAUUUCUGAGGAUGUGGUGUUGAAAGAUGCCAGUUUAGCAAAUAUGGAAUACUGAAUUACUGUGAGACGUCUGCUGGCUCUCUCUUCGUAGCGUAGCUUGGAGGUAGCUCGUCGAACGCUGACCUGGUUAUGGGUUUACGAUGUUCCAAACCGAUGAAAGAGAAACAGGAUUCACUCGAGAAUGACCAAAAAACCAACAACAAAUACGUGAAAAACGCGCGCGAAGGUGAAAACGUACAACCGCUGAUCCAUGUCACUACGGCUUCAACCAGCAGCGAUCAAAAUGUGAACAACGAGAACAAUGCGAGCAACACUGCAGCACCAACACAAUCAAUGAUCAUCAGAAGAAGGAACACAGAGUACAAACCACGACCCAAGUCUAUGGAUGAUUAUACCGAUACUGCUACUACAUUGGCACUCUCAAAACUACGCCAUUUAAUUUAUCAGUUAAAUGAAGGGAAAAUCAACUCAGUUUCGGAUAUGAAAGAAGAGCUUAGCCAGGCAGUGGCAAUCAUGGAUGUCGCAUCGUCGAACAUGCGAGAUUACAGAGGAUCCAUGAGCGCCAUCAGCGAUAUAGACGACGAGCUUUACACUGAUGUAGUAAGUGACGAGGUUCGUGAAUGGAUAGCAACAACGUUUGCGCGUGGACCGGGCACGUUGCGGAGGAAGAGUAUCAUGCCAAGGCACACGUUUAGGGGUGUGGUGCAUGCUGUUAAAGCCAGUCUCUACGUUAAUAAAAUAUUAAAAAAUGCUUCUGAACGAAACAAGCUUCAAGUACCAGAAGAAGUGCUGAUACAUUUCGAAAAAUUAAACGAGUGGACAUUUGAUGUGUUUUCACUGAGCGAAGCAACUGAAGGUCAUUCAUUACGAUUCAUGGGGCACGAAGUGCUCAGUAGGAUGGAUCUUUUACGAUUAUUCAAGGUGAAUGUUGGAAGCCUAGACCGUUUCUUGUUAGCUGUAGAAGAAGGCUAUCAAAAGAAUGGCAACCCAUACCACAACGAAUGUCACGCCACAGAUGUCACGCAUACUGUCUUUUACUUUCUAAGUGUGAUUGGUCUAGCGCAAUGUCUGUCAGACUUGGAAAUCUUCGCUCUUCUUCUCUCUGCCAUUAUUCAUGAUUUGGAACAUACAGGAACUACAAACGCUUUUCACAUUAAUUCAAGGUCAGAAAUGGCUUUAUUGUACAAUGAUCGCUCCGUACUUGAAAACCAUCAUCUUACCGCGGCAUUUAAACUAUUACAAGAUAAUGACCGAAAUAUUUUAGCAAAUCUAAAUGACAAUCAAUACAGUGGACUUCGGUCUCUUGUGAUCGAUAUGGUGCUAGCAACAGACAUGACGUCCCACUUCGAACAGCUAAGAACUACAAAAGUUGCUUUAGUUGGAGGAAGUCCAAUAGAAAAUAGCGAACUGCUACAGUUGAUCUUACACGUAGCGGAUAUCAGCAAUCCAACCAAAGACUGGCAAAUACACCAGCAAUGGACACAAAGAAUUAUGGAAGAAUUUUUUACUCAGGGCGAUAUGGAGAUUGAACUGGGACUCGACGUGUCCCCACUGUGUGACCGCUCCUCAACUCGUAUUCCUGAGAGUCAAGUUGGAUUUAUUGAUGUCAUAGUGUCGCCAGCCUUUGAAGUAUGCAGUGAAGCGCUGGAAGUGUUCCUGCAAGAAAACUCCACCCAGACCAAUGUCGACAUGUCACGAGUUCAACCCUGGUCAAAACCUUUGGCUAAUAAUAGAAGGAAAUGGAAGGAACAGUUCCAAGUAAUCAACAAAGAUGGUCGGACGGGGUCUACUCUUAGUGUGUGCAGUAAGAACUCCACUUCAAAUCUUCAGGACUUGAAUCAAGAUGAAUCAACACUCGGUAGACGUAGCCCUUGGGGCAGCAGAACUCACUUAACGCCUAUUAUUUCAUGACAUCUUGAAUGAUUACACCGAGCAGAAUGCCUAAUGUGGACAUUACAAUGCACGUGAGAAUGCGAUGGGAUUGCAUGCGUGCAUGAUUCAUCAUUGAAACACGCCUGGUUAAAUGCAUGGAGAUACAAGCGCUGUAUUUAUAGCUCUUCGUUUCUAGAUUAACAUUAACUUGGACAUGGUCGAUAAAGUACGUUUGGCUCAAGGCGUCAAGUGUCAAAUACAUUACGUUUAUUUUAAAAGAGAUGGCUGACAAAGCUACAGAUGGUAUAUUGAUUACGGUCACCAUAGUAUAUGUGGAAAACAUAGGGAACCCAUGAGGAGUAAAAACAAUGCUCGUAAACAGAGUAAAGGAGUCGUAAAGGAAUAUGAUAGCCAAAGAGUACAAAUAUUAAAAGCGUGCAAUACUUAAAUUACAAUAUUUAACACUAAAUAGCACUAAUCAAACAAUGGAAAACCACAGAAUUAGCAUACUUUAGCAGUAUUUAGUACUAUUUAAGGUGACGUGUUUGUACUCUAGCGCCGUUUCAUUUCAUUGGACGUUGUGUGAAAUUCUUGUAUUUUACUUUUUUACAUUUGAAAAAGUUCGCAUUGGGGAAAAAUAUUAGAAUAACAUUGAAUAAAAAAUUGAAUAAUUUUUAGAUAAUACAAAUAUAAAUAUGACGCUUAGAUGUGUUGUGUUACGCGUUGUUCUGAUUACUAAUAAAAGGGGAAAAUAAAUUUUGAUAUCGCAAAUCAAA